RNAcentral lists this ribosomal RNA (331 nucleotides) under Cellulosimicrobium cellulans. RNAcentral's name for it is "bacterial LSU rRNA". It matches the Rfam family "Bacterial large subunit ribosomal RNA", at positions 2598 to 2925 of the family's 2925-position model. Lineage: Bacteria; Bacillati; Actinomycetota; Actinomycetes; Micrococcales; Promicromonosporaceae. The record is from RNAcentral.
ACGCGAGCUGGGUUUAGAACGUCGUGAGACAGUUCGGUCCCUAUCCGCUGCGCGCGCAGGAAACUUGAGAAGGGCUGUCCCUAGUACGAGAGGACCGGGACGGACGAACCUCUGGUGUGCCAGUUGUUCCGCCAGGAGCACCGCUGGUUGGCUACGUUCGGAAGGGAUAACCGCUGAAAGCAUCUAAGCGGGAAGCCUGCUUCAAGAUGAGGUUUCCAUACCCUACGGGGUGAGAGGCACCCAGCAGAACACUGGGUCGAUAGGCCGGACGUGGAAGCGGGGACGAAAGACCCGUGCAGCUGACCGGUACUAAUCAGCCGACAACUUCAAC